Molecule: microRNA precursor, 58 nt
Filed under: Rattus norvegicus (Norway rat)
Lineage: Eukaryota; Metazoa; Chordata; Mammalia; Rodentia; Muridae
Description: Rno-Mir-26-P2_pre stem-loop
Source: RNAcentral
UUCAAGUAAUUCAGGAUAGGUUGUGGUGCUGGCCAGCCUGUUCUCCAUUACUUGGCUC